This 477-nucleotide ribosomal RNA is filed under the name uncultured bacterium. RNAcentral describes it as "partial 16S ribosomal RNA". It matches the Rfam family "Bacterial small subunit ribosomal RNA", at positions 30 to 507 of the family's 1533-position model. The record is from RNAcentral.
AUUGAACGCUGGCGGCAUGCCUUACACAUGCAAGUCGAACGGUAACAGGUUAAGCUGACGAGUGGCGAACGGGUGAGUAAUGUAUCGGAACGUGCCCAGUCGUGGGGGAUAACUGCUCGAAAGAGCAGCUAAUACCGCAUACGACCUGAGGGUGAAAGCGGGGGAUCGCAAGACCUCGCGCGAUUGGAGCUGCCGAUAUCAGAUUAGGUAGUUGGUGAGGUAAAGGCUCACCAAGCCGACGAUCUGUAGCUGGUCUGAGAGGACGACCAGCCACACUGGGACUGAGACACGGCCCAGACUCCUACGGGAGGCAGCAGUGGGGAAUUUUGGGCAAUGGGCGCAAGCCUGAUCCAGCCAUGCCGCGUGCGGGAAGAAGGCCUUCGGGUUGUAAACCGCUUUUGUCAGGGAAGAAAAGGUUCUGGCUAAAACCUGGGACUCAUGACGGUACCUGAAGAAUAAGCACCGGCUAACUACGUG